RNAcentral lists this ribosomal RNA (513 nucleotides) under uncultured bacterium. RNAcentral describes it as "partial 16S ribosomal RNA". It matches the Rfam family "Bacterial small subunit ribosomal RNA", at positions 28 to 507 of the family's 1533-position model. The record is from RNAcentral.
GACGAACGCUGGCGGCGUGCUUAACACAUGCAAGUCGAACGAAAAGAGGGAAAGAGCUUGCUCUUUCCGGAAUUGAGUGGCAAACGGGUGAGUAACACGUAAACAACCUGCCUUCAGGAUGGGGACAACAGACGGAAACGACUGCUAAUACCGAAUAAGUUCCAAGAGCCGCAUGGCCCAUGGAAGAAAAGGUGGCCUCUACCUGUAAGCUAUCGCCUGAAGAGGGGUUUGCGUCUGAUUAGCUGGUUGGAGGGGUAACGGCCCACCAAGGCGACGAUCAGUAGCCGGUCUGAGAGGAUGAACGGCCACACUGGAACUGAGACACGGUCCAGACUCCUACGGGAGGCAGCAGGGGGGAAUCUUCCGCAAUGGGCGAAAGCCUGACGGAGCAACGCCGCGUGAGGGAUGACGGCCUUCGGGUUGUAAAACUCUGUGAUCCGGGACGAAAAGGCAGAGUGCGAAGAACAAACUGCAUUGACGGCACCGGAAAAGCAAGCCACGGCUAACUACGUG